UUAAUAUUUUAUUUAUUUUUGUUAUUUCUUAUAGUUUUAUUAAAGUAAUAUAUAUAAUUAGUAUAGUUUAUAGAAAAUUUUUAUUUGAAUUAUAGUUUAGUGUACUGUGAAGGAUUAUUAAAUUAUUUUUAAAAAGUAUAAGUUUUUUUAUUACCUUUUGUAUCAGGGUUCAUUAAUUAAAUAAUAAAUAUAUAUUAUUUCCCGAAAGUAAAAGAGUUAACUAUGAAUGAUUGUUUUUGUGACAAAAUGAUUUUUAAUUUAUAGUUAGGGGUUAUAUGCUAUUCAAUUUUAUAUAUCUGGUUUCUUAAUAAAUGAAUUUAAUUCAUAAUUAUUAAAGUUAAUUAUUAAUUUUAUUGUAGUUAAUUUAAUAAUUUUAUAUUAUGAGGGAUUAGCUUUGUAAUAUUUUUAUAAAGUAUUUAAUAAUAUUUGUUGUAGGCUUGAUAAUAGCCAUCUGUUUAAUUUUGUUAUAAUUUAUUUUGAUAAGUAUUUUAUUUAUUUUUAUUUUUAAUUUUUUAUUAAGAUUAUUUUGUUAAUUUAAUUUAAUAUGUAAUAAUGAUGGAAUUAGUAGGGUUUAUAAAUUAAAUAUAGUAACUCGGCAAAUGUUGUUUUCGCCUGUUUAACAAAAACAUGUCCUAUAGAAUUAAUUUUAGGUCUAAUCUGCUCAAUGAUUAUUUAAAUUAAAUGGCCGCAGUAUUUUGACUGUGCAAAGGUAGCAUAAUCAUUUGUCUUUUAAUUGAGGGCUUGUAUGAAUGAUUGGACGAAAAAUAGACUUUCUUUGUUUAAUUUAUUUGAAUUUAAUUUCUUAGUUAAAAAGCUGAGAUAUUUUUGUAAGACGAGAAGACCCUAUAGAAUUUUAUUUUUUUUAAUUUACUCUUUUUUCUUUUUGCUUAGAUUAAGUUAAAAAAAAUUUGGUUGGGGUGACUGUGAAAUUUCAUUAACUUUCAUUUAUUUUUAUCAAUAAUUAUUGUGUUUCUGAUCCUUUAUUAAAGAUUAAAAGAUUAAAUUACCUUAGGGAUAACAGCGUAAUUUCUUUGGAGAGUUCUUAUUGAUGAAGGAGUUUGCGACCUCGAUGUUGGAUUAAAGUAAGAUUUUGGUGUAGGUGCUAAAUUUUCUAGGUCUGUUCGACCUUUAAAUCUUUACAUGAUCUGAGUUCAGACCGGCGUGAGCCAGGUUGGUUUCUAUCUACAAUUAAUUUUAAUACUUUAGUACGAAAGGACCAAGUAUUAAUAAUAUUUAUUAUUCAUUUGAUUAUUAUUA
RNAcentral lists this ribosomal RNA (1257 nucleotides) under Tropidothorax cruciger. RNAcentral describes it as "16S ribosomal RNA". The stretch from base 826 to 1188 matches the Rfam family "Archaeal large subunit ribosomal RNA", at positions 2150 to 2716 of the family's 2987-position model. Lineage: Eukaryota; Metazoa; Arthropoda; Insecta; Hemiptera; Lygaeidae. The record is from RNAcentral.